Aegilops tauschii subsp. strangulata is the source of this 2903-nucleotide non-coding RNA. The record is from RefSeq and is a predicted model, not a curated record. Lineage: Eukaryota; Viridiplantae; Streptophyta; Magnoliopsida; Poales; Poaceae.
CGCCGCCGAUCCCAUUGAGGAGCCGCCGCCGAUGACGGGAGACGCCGCCUAUCUCGUUGAGGAGCCGCCGCCGAUGACGGGAGACGCCGCACGCUGACCUACCCCCUCCCCAAUCCUUAGCAUCGCACCUCUUCCCGUCUGGCGCCUCCUACCUUGGCUGGGCGGUGGCCUCGAGUGCCUCUUCUUCCCCAAUGAGGCCUCAACCAACGACGCUGCACCUCGGUGAUGACUCCGCCCCACGAUUCCCAUCGGUCGGCGCCUCGCCAGCAGUGACCUCCCCCUCCAUGUAUCCUGUGAUCCGGUCAUGUGCCACCGCCUCUCUAGGCGCUUAGAUCCAGGCUUCCAGAAGGGGAUAGGGGUGGAGGUGGCAGCGGAGGGGACAGGGAUGUGGACCGGAGAAACUACAUGGUGGAGGCACAACAAAGCGUUCAAGCACGGCACCCCAUCGCAUGCAGCUGCAGCCAGCGGCAGGUGUUGGGCACUUUGAGGUAUGCAAACCUUCUCAGAGCAAGGGGAGCAAGAGUACCGAUCAACCGUUCUUCUUUCUUCCUUGGAGCUCCACUGUUUUGGAUGAACUAGACUAACCCUAGAAGGGAUGAAGGUCAUCCACGAGGUGUCUCAAGGUGAACCCCGUGGUACCCGACCAAGUGGCUGGAGGGAAUGGUGUAUGCUCACAAGUUUGUAUAGACCAAUUUGUUUCACUCGGACAAGAAUCCCAUGAACCUUAAUGUGGCCUUUAAGUUUCAGGUCCUUGGGGUUGGAUGCGGCAACUCGCGGCUCGAAGACAAUCUUUUGUGGUGGGGCGUCGCCGCCGCCGGCGGCACCUGCAUAGACCGUAUCGCUGGGAACGAAGAGAUGCUCCCCUGAUUUGGAGCUGUAGAAAGGAAGUGGUUGCAGACACAAAGUGGGGACACACAACUCCCAGUCAUAAUAUUCUUUAUCUUGGCUCGUUGUUUGGGGAUGGACGCAUCAAUCUGAUGGCGCUCUCCUCCAUGCCAAACGGAUCCUUGGUUUGGAGGCGUGCGGCGCCGACGAUGACAACCUUUCUAUCGACGCAAGGGCAGCAGGAGCUCAUGACGCUGUUGAUGCCACCACCAUGCAUGGGGUUGAUGCAAGGUGGGACAAUGCGAUCACUAAUGGGGAGAACAUAAAACUUCAAUUGAGGGCACUGUGAUUCUCUAGCUACAUGUAUCAUGGUCACCAACCACACAUGUAAAAACCAUGUCUCCCUACUGUAAUUUGAUGAUUUAUUUACAUGUGGCACAGAAUAGUUCAGAGUUCACUCCGAGAAAGAAUUGCUUUGCAUGUACAUUUGCUAAAAGACGGAUGUGCUGAACUUUCGACGGUUCCGAUUGGUCGCUGACAUAACCUUUCCUCUUUUCAUUGAUAGGUCCAAAAGAGAUCCUUAUUUCACCUUUGUUUAUAGGUAUUCAACGUGAGGAAUUUUAUACUUUUGGAGUGGAGCUAUCAAAUAUAUAUUAUGAGUUUCUAAAACAUCUAUUAUAAGGAGUUGAACAGAGUUUCCUCUGCCCCGGCAGAUUCUGAGAAAACCAACCAGCAGAGAACAUGAACAAAUAUAGUGACGAGAAAGGGUGGAGCCGAGUACACCACACAUGGAUAUGAUGGUCUCCCCUAUGUUCUUUUUGGCAAUCCAGUUAAUCACUGACUCAACUUUGUAUGGGUGAGCUAACAAGCCCGUGUUAUGUCUUCCAUCUUUCUUUGGCGCUUCCGAUGCACAAAUGGUGGCGGUGAAGCAGCAUGCCCGAGAGAGCGUGCAGGGGAGGAAGGAGUUCCUGGUGGAGGUGCUGAUACUGGCGGUGCUCAGCCACCCUAACUUCGUCAGCCUGAUCGGCUUCUGCGCGCAGGGGACAAGCGGCUGCUGUUGUACGAGUACAUGCCCUUCGGCAGCCUAGAGAGUCAUCUCUUUGAAUAUGGAACCAGAUGUAGUGAAAUGUUUGCAUACCAUGUCUGGAUUCAACAAGCUAUUUACUGAUGGCUGAUUUUUAAGGAUGUCUUAUGAAGUUGUGAUUCUGCGAGGAAAAGCUCGUGAGUGGAAUUAUUCAGUAUGGUGCUUGUGAUGUUUCCUUCAUAGCUCUUUUACAAUCAGCCAUUCCUCUAUUAUUAUUCGUAAAUGGUCCUCUAAAUCCUAAAUACACAAUAGAUUUUUUGUUGCACUCAUCUGUGUGUUACAAUCUAUUUCUUUCAUAUUUUUUCAGCGGUUCCAUUAUAUAUAUUCACUUUGGAAGGCAAAAAUUAUAUGUUGGCUGGUUGCCCAAGAAAUCAAAAAGGCUAAAUCUUGAGUUGUAUGGAGCAUGGUCAUUUGCUUGAAGUUUCCAAUGGACUGUAUAUACCAUUGAGUGAGAGGAAUUAUUCCAUGAGUGUGGACAAAUUGAGCUGAUCGAUUGAUUGAGAAAAUAUUGUGUGGAUGUUCUCAGAUCUCCUUGCUCCACUACUCCUUGGAUUAUUACCUUUGUCCAUAUAUUUUGGUUUAUCUGAGCUGAAGGUAACCUUCUUAAACUAUCCAUAAAAAUAGUUCAAAUUGUUAAUUAAUUGUUUGCUUAAUUGUGUUGUCUAUAUAUUCUUUUGCACAUAGAAGAUAUAACCUGCAAAUCUGCACAUGCUUUUGCCAAUGUAUCCAUCCUGAUAUUUCUUAUAAUGUGGAAGUUAUCAGAGCCCUUUUUUAAGCAUCCACUUUGAGUUCACCGGUGGCAGGUAGCUUGUACAAUACUGAAUUUUCAAGGUAACAAAAUCAGUUAUGCGUUGCAGCAAAAUCGAAUGUGGUAGAGAAAAUAUUCAGGCUUCGUAGCGAAACAAUGCCUCUGUUAGGAUAGUACACCCAGAUCCCCGAUGCAUUUGGUUUAUUAUGAUGUAUUGAUACUGAAGUUUGUACCAUAUCUUGAAUU